Molecule: ribosomal RNA, 387 nt
Filed under: Triticum aestivum (bread wheat)
Lineage: Eukaryota; Viridiplantae; Streptophyta; Magnoliopsida; Poales; Poaceae
Description: partial small subunit ribosomal RNA
Source: RNAcentral
AUGCGAAUGAGGGGGAGGCUCAUGAGGAACUCCGGCGAGGAACGAGAUGACGCGCUGGUCGAGGGGUCGUUGUGUCGAGCUCGGGAAGGAGGCCGAGCGCUGCGGGCGCGCGACGACGGCUGCCGGAGCUCGGGCGGAUGCUGCAUGGAGGAGCUACGACGGCUGGGAGACGAAGCCGAGCUUGAUGACGAGGAGGCCAUGGUCGUGGGCGCGCGAGGAAUAGAAGGAGGCGAGCGCGAGGUGACUGACGGAGGCGGCUCGGGGCAUCGGGCUGGCCAUGGCACCAUGGGGAAAAGGAGGCUGCACAGGCAGGGUGUAGCACGACAGCAGGACGGCGGCGGCUGCAUGGGAGGUGAGGGCGGCGGAGCAAGCUCGCCGCGAGGAUGA